Molecule: long non-coding RNA, 834 nt
Filed under: Gossypium barbadense (sea-island cotton)
Lineage: Eukaryota; Viridiplantae; Streptophyta; Magnoliopsida; Malvales; Malvaceae
Description: long non-coding RNA (GBAR_LNC007915)
Source: RNAcentral
AAAAAACUAAAAUUCUCUCUGAAAUGAAAAGGGAGAGAGAGAGAUCUAGGCUCCGGUUUCCGUCGAGCCGAGCCCCGGUCGUCGACCUCACGCGCCCACGCGCUGUCGCCGACUCCUCCCCAUACGGUGGUUGGAGGCCCAAAAUCUCGAUUUUCAACGCGAUUUCGACUAUAAAUUUAUUUUAUUUUAAUGGUAUUUGCAUGCAUAUAGAGAAGACGAAGAAAAAUGAAACAAAGUAAGAGUAUAUCACCUCUUAAAGAAACUGCUUGAACCCUUUUUAUGAAUAAGUAUAUGUAUUUCUCUUUUUGUCAAAAAAGUUGGAUCCUUUACAUUGUUUUGAUUCGGGCUUUUAUAGCCACUGUUGUUAUUACAUUUAGGGAAGAAAUCUUUUUAUCUCCUUCCAUAUUUAUUUUGUUUGCUGCGGUUCCUUUCCUUUUGCAGGUGCUUGCGAGAAAUUCGGUGGUGACGAGGGCUUGACGAUGGUCUAUCGGUGGCGUUGAUCUCUGCGUGACUCGGGGCCUGGAAUCGUGGCAUUGAUGGAAGGCAGCUGGAACGGCGGAAACCGAAGGGUCAUGAGGCUUGGCUUCUGGAACCUUCUAUUUGCCGCGCGAGGAGAAAGGGAGCUAGGGUUUCUAACCCUAUCUGAAAGUCAUUUGGGCCCCUGCUAUUUGGGCCUUCGGGUUUGGGUCUGCUGUAGGUUUAGGUUAGGUUUGGGUUUGAAAGUUAUUUGGGUUAAGGUUGUAACUGGUAUAGGGUAAUGGGUCUGCUGGGUAGUUCUGAUUUUGGGCCUACAGUUUGGGUUUUGUAACCUGGACUUUUAAUGGACUGUUAAAU